This 76-nucleotide small RNA is filed under the name Xanthomonas sp. 4461. RNAcentral's name for it is "sRNA sX9". It matches the Rfam family "Xanthomonas sRNA sX9". RNAcentral also lists the same sequence under 1 other name. The record is from RNAcentral. Lineage: Bacteria; Pseudomonadati; Pseudomonadota; Gammaproteobacteria; Lysobacterales; Lysobacteraceae.
AUGUACCACUCGUAUGCCCCGGCUCCUGCGCGCCGUCCGUGCCCACCUGGCGGCCGCUGGCUACGUUUUCCUGGCU